This is a long non-coding RNA of Motacilla alba alba, 5474 nucleotides long. RefSeq lists it as uncharacterized. NCBI's taxonomy places the organism in Eukaryota, Metazoa, Chordata, Aves, Passeriformes, Motacillidae. The record is from RefSeq and is a predicted model, not a curated record. The transcript has 4 exons.
CAGCCCGGCAGCGGAGCCCUCGGGAAGCGACACCCCUCGACGUGGGAGAGCCGUGUGGGUGCCGAGCGAGGAGCCCCGAGCAGAGGGAGCGGCGCUGACCGACCCACUCAGGAGUUACUGCGCAUCCCUUGCUGUGGAGAGCGUGCCCAUGAGACGUGGGGACAGAGGAUCGACCUGGAUUGCACGGCCAUUCCCACCAUCCCUUGUGCAGCACUGCUGCUGUGGGAGCCAGCAGAAGUGUAAGGGCUCUGCAGACCAACCUGCUGCAUUAUUCCUCAUCAGUGAAUAAACAGGAAUGGAAGCAGUGAUAGCAGACCAUUGCAACUCCCACUCAUCUGAUGUUACAGACUGGAAAAGUGAGAAGAUGUCUAGGAGGAAGAGCCAUUUUCUUGUAAUCAAUUAUUAACUGGUCUUAAGAAUUAAUACCUGAAAAUACUCACUGAGAAUCAUGUCGGAGGCCGGGGUCAGCCGUUGUACUGCCUGCACCAGACAUCUGACAGACUCCAAGGCUUGAAGGCAGACUCACAGCAGUUCAUUGAGGGAUAAAUGGUUUGAGCUGUGACCCUUCCACCUGUGCCCAAGCCCUGAGUAUUCCCCUGACCACUCAAAAGACACGUGAAACAGGUAGUCCCCAGGUGCUCAUACAGCUUGAACUGUGAGUUAUGAACAACAAAGUUUUGCCACUUUCAAAACUGUUCAGAGAAAUACUGAUAAACUUUCUUUACUUAUGACUGUUUGUUAGAGGUUGAUUUACCAGAGAACUUGCAAGUCUUAAAUAAGAAUUUCGAGGAUUUUAAAGCUAAACAAUGAAGGUUCAAAUAAUUUAUAAAACAAAAUGCAUUUAUUGGUUUAGUGACCUUGAUAUCACACAGUGUUAAAAACCAUUUUUUAGUUUUAAAAACAGGACAGAUAUUUUUGUAGAAUUCUAAUUUCUGGGACCAUCCAUGAUUCUGUAUGACCUGGAAGACCUGAAAGAUUCUGGAUGAAUUUAUUGAGAAGUUAAAAAAAAAAAAAUCAUGGUGACAUCUUCUUGACUGUCCCAGUGUGAAUUGGUCCUGGACCUUUCUGUGAUGUUCUGUGAUGGAGGAUAAUAUUUUUCCAUUAUAUGUUCAGCACUGGUGUUCAUUUGUGCAGCCUCUGUGCCUAUAAGUAAAUUAGCAAGCUUUUUCUGUGAUACAUAGGGAUGCAAACGUGGGGAGGAGAAGGUGGUGGAGGUGUGGAAGGAAUCUUUGCAGACCAAGAAAUUUAUAGAGAAGGUAAGGACAUUUCUCCCAUCAUGGGUCCCAUGGAAAUUUUAUGCAAAUUGGUACCUCCUCAUGGAGGAGCAGAAUGAAGCCCUAACAGAAGCUGCAGCAGGGCUGCCUCUCUGACUGUGUUCCUGGCAGAAAUUGCUGCCUCAUGACACCUAAAAAUCUCCUAAUAUUGGAAGAGAGCUGCAAAUCAAGGUAGUAAUUUCAGGCAAGUAGAAGCUCAUACAGAAGCUUUUUCUGUCGCACUGUCUCUGAGAGGAGCUUUCUUUAAUCGUAUUAUGGUAAACCCAGCAUCAGGUCUUUCCCUUCUGUUGUUGUGAUGAGAGAAGGGAGCUGGCACGAAGUCUGUAUCUAUAUUAAUGAAUUAACCAGCAGCAGAAGUGUGCUGAGGCCGCUGAUGUGUGCCCUGGUCAUCAGCAUGCCUUUGGUCUGGGCCAACCAGCACUUUCUGACACAUCUCCUCAGCCUGGAUUUGGCAUUAGCCCAGGAGCAGUCCUAAGAGAAAAUAUGAAGAUAUUUCUGCAAUUUUGUGUUCUUUAAAACACAACCCAAAAAUACAGAAAUCUUUUCUCUGCCUCUGGUUCUCUGCCUGUCUUUAUGUUAUUUUUGACUACUGUCAAAAGUUAUAUUAAAUAGCUAUUAUCCCCAUAAGCAUUCUGCAGAUGCCAAAUAGAAAUGAGCUGUGUAAAUGUCAGCCAUUAAAGUAUAGUUCUGUCAGAUUCUUUUUUCUGGACCUUCUGCAAGUCUAAUGGAUAACUAGACACAGAGUUAUCCAUAAGUGCCAUCUUACCAAUGCCUCUUAACAGCAUCUUACUUUGGAAGUUAUUUUUUACUGCAUUUUCAUAAUUUCUUAAAAACUCCAUUGACUUCUAUUUUCUUCUCUAUUCCCUUUCUCCCCUUGAAAUGAAGUGUUCUAGCUUUAUUUAAGGCUUCAGACCAGAGGUCAAGCUGCUUGCAGAGGUCUCAGACACACUCGGAUUAGAUUUUGCAGCAGCUGUGGGGAAGAAAGUGCCACAGUUGGCAGCAAGCUGUGUGGGUGGGCUUGCAGCAGGAGGAACUUGGCACAGAGCAGCUGGGGGGAUGGCAUCUCCUCAGCCCCGUAAGCUGAAGUACAUCUGAGUGCUCACUUAUUGACCUGUUGCAUUUCACUUCUUGGAUUACUUUAGGAGGUCUGGAGAUACCUGUGGAACAGGGAAAGGACUUAAAAAAUAAUCAACUUUUUUCUCUCAAACAGUAGCCUUGUGGCUGGCAAGGUGUUAUUAAACACAAACUCUAAAAAUAAUCAAAUUAGUGAAAUAUACAUUGCCAGAAAUUUAUAUAUUGUGUCCUCAAGCCACCAAAAUAUUAAGCACAUAAGUUACAAAAUUAUGUUGUCAAAGUCCACCAAAUUCACACACACAAAAAAGAAAAGCUCUCUGAUUUUGAACAGCGCUAAACUUUACAUUCUGUCUUAUUCAGCAAGUAGAUUUAAUUUUGAAGGUAAAAUGGGAGAGGCUGACCAAAAUAAUAUUCAGGUUAAUUCUCCUUCAGGGAUGCUAUGGCACUGGUUGAAAUUGGUGAGCUGAAGACAAAAUGAGCCAGUUAUUUCUGAGUGUGUGGCCCAUCUCCAGCAGCACCAGGCAGGGUGGGUCCCACUGCCACAGCUGGGAGGCUUCACUGCCUUGCCCAAGCAAUGCUGACAACAGUUUCUCACAUGAGCAGGUUAGUCCAUAGGUGUUUAGCACAAGAACAGAGAUGCCCUUGUCACAGAGAUGGAGUUCCUUGCCCCACAAUCACAGUAGUGUUGCUGUUCUCAUGUACUGCUAUGGGGGUAUUUAUCAGCCAAGUCAAAAGAUAGUACCUGAAGAGGUACAGUAACACACUACACUCAUUGCUAGAGGUGAGAAUGACAAUCACUAGCACAUUUUUAUACCUUUAAUUAGAAAUCUCAGAAUUAGCCCACUCUUUUUAAUGCCUUUUAAUACAUACUGAAUGAAAUCAAGCAAACAAUGAAAAGGUGAGUACACUCUGGUACAAUGCUGGUUGUGUGAUGCUCAUUCCUUAGGUUAGAAACCCACCUGGUAGCAGUCAUCAACCUCCUCUCUUCCAGGUCACAGACUCAAGAGAAAUUCAGCAUAUGAAUAGCCCUGUCGGCUAACAUCAUGACCUCAAAGUUGUGUCAUUCAGUGCAGAUGCAGUAGAAGGCACUAAGACUCAUAAACAAAUCCACAGGUGCUUACAGCCCUGCAACGUUAUGUGACUCUAAGACUGGGAUGGCAGCACCUGUGGUACUGAGGAGGGUAUGCCAUCCCUGAAGUGUGACAGCGAGGUACUUGAGUGUCUCAGUGCAACAUUGAACAAGGAAUUUCUGACAAAGUGAUGCUCGGAGCUUAAAAACAUUUCCUAAUUACUUAAAAUUUAUCUUUGAUAUGCACAAAUAGCAUAGCUUCCUUUGAAGGUGUAUCUGAAGCACACCUCAAUGCCUGCGUGAACCUUGUCCUACAUGUGUACAUCUGUUCUUUAGGAGUGUGUGUUGAUUUAAAUCUUGGCCUGGAUUUUCAGGCUCCAGGACCAAGCUUCUCCCUUUAUCCAGGAUGUAGUACAACAGUUUCAGGUUACACAAAUUCAUAUCUGCUUAAAAGCAUACUAAAAUGAAAGUCAUCACAUAAAUCAAGGUUAAACUAAGACAGAAAUCUGUCUGGCAGGUGAAAGACUGCUUCUUUACUUACUAAGCCUUAUAAUCUUUUAACUUGCAGUUCACUGCCAAAGAAGAUUAUGAAAGAACACCAGCCAUAUCCAAGUGUUACAAGUCUAUAUUUGUCUUCUAUAAUGAAGUUGAGAACAAUUGCCAAGUGUGAAAGAUUACCAAGUAGGUUGAUAGACAAGGAAUAGAGCUGCAUUUUAGAAGAUGUGUGAAUCUGUGCAUUUAUCAGUAUCAACACAAACCUUUUCCUAGCUGUUUCCUAUCAUGCUAUGUCUGAGCUAUCUGAACUGAAUUAAAGUCAGAGAGUGCUGCCCAAAUGGUUUAACUGCAGAUUUGGAUUUUCAGAGUUUGAUGAUUGGACACUUUGAAUAACCUAUUUUUAUUCAUUUAUUAACAAUUACAUUGGUUGUUGUAGACACAUGGCCCUCUGUGGAUUCUUCAGUAGUUCAUUGACUGGGCUCAGGAGGCUGCUGGGUGCCCUUUUGCCUGUGUUCAGUGAUCAAAACUUGUGAGAGAAGAGCUGGAAAAGGGUGGAAGUCUAGCCCACAGUCUACAUGCAACCUACUACACUUUUGGUAGAAACAAAAUGACGGUAAAAGUCCUUGAAAACGCCCAAAGACCAUUCCUGUGACUGGAUCACUGGCGUGGGCUCAGUAUUUUAGAGUGGACUGUGGCAGGCUGAGGUAAUAGAGAAGGGUAAAUUGCUGGCAGAGUGAGCUGACACAGCAUUAUCUCUAAAACAGCCAGUCAGCCCAGACUGAUGCAUUUUCUGAGAAAACUCACAGUGUUUUUUGUUAUUCUUUUUAAGUGUGUAAACAUGGUGGACCUCCUGCUACUAUUUGUGGCCAUGAGGAGGAAUCUUCUGCAAGGUGCAAAGGAUGCAAUUGCAUUUGCCUACAUGUACACAAGUAUUCUGUGGGCUAGAAAGGAAACUUAGGGAUACGUUGGGAAGGGAUUAUAGCAAAUAUUACUGGUAGCUGGGUAAUAGCUGAUGUUAGCCCUUGAAAAAGAUAUUUUCCUCCUUUGCUGUAUUUUCACUGUAAAUGCACAAGUAAAAAAAAUAAACCUAAAAUAAUUACACAAAUUUAAAAAAAUGGAAAAUUGCUUAGGAUUAUUGUUACACUUCAAAACUUGGUCCACCUAUUCAUGUGGGACUGAAGAACUGCAAUUAUCUCACAAGAAAUCCAUCCUGUUAAAUCAAAUCCAAACACCCUAAAUAUUCAGAUAUCAAUUUGCUAUCAGGUUUCACAAGGAAUUUCUAAUCCUGUGUAAAAUGCUCUAAAAUAUUGAUAAAUUUAAAGCACACAAGAGCAAACUGCAAACUGUACCAUGGUAAUAAGGGAAAGGUGGGUAACUUGGAAAAACAUGUCACAUCAAUCCUUGUUCCCUAUGAUUGCUAUAGAAUCAAAUACAUCAGAAGUUUAUAACAAUGCGCCUUCCCACCUUGAUGCCUCUAAAGUAUUGGUUUUAACAGCAGGAAGCCCUGGCAGAACAAAUAUCUGCUUCAUGCACAAAAAAAAAUAAAAAAAAAAAUAAAAAAA